RNAcentral lists this ribosomal RNA (504 nucleotides) under uncultured bacterium. RNAcentral describes it as "partial 16S ribosomal RNA". It matches the Rfam family "Bacterial small subunit ribosomal RNA", at positions 28 to 506 of the family's 1533-position model. The record is from RNAcentral.
GACGAACGCUGGCGGCGUGCCUAAUACAUGCAAGUCGAACGCACAGUUUAUACCGUAGCUUGCUACACCAUAGACUGUGAGUUGCGAACGGGUGAGUAACGCGUAGGUAACCUGCCUGGUAGCGGGGGAUAACUAUUGGAAACGAUAGCUAAUACCGCAUAAUAUUGAUUAUUGCAUGAUAAUUGAUUGAAAGAUGCUAUUGCAUCACUACCAGAUGGACCUGCGUUGUAUUAGCUAGUAGGUGAGGUAACGGCUCACCUAGGCGACGAUACAUAGCCGACCUGAGAGGGUGAUCGGCCACACUGGGACUGAGACACGGCCCAGACUCCUACGGGAGGCAGCAGUAGGGAAUCUUCGGCAAUGGACGAAAGUCUGACCGAGCAACGCCGCGUGAGUGAAGAAGGUUUUCGGAUCGUAAAGCUCUGUUGUAAGAGAAGAACGGGUGUGAGAGUGGAAAGUUCACACUGUGACGGGAUCUUACCAGAAAGGGACGGCUAACUACGU